Molecule: ribosomal RNA, 260 nt
Filed under: Leclercia adecarboxylata
Lineage: Bacteria; Pseudomonadati; Pseudomonadota; Gammaproteobacteria; Enterobacterales; Enterobacteriaceae
Description: partial 16S ribosomal RNA
Rfam family: Bacterial small subunit ribosomal RNA
Source: RNAcentral
AAUACCGCAUAACGUCGCAAGACCAAAGAGGGGGACCUUCGGGCCUCUUGCCAUCAGAUGUGCCCAGAUGGGAUUAGCUAGUAGGUGGGGUAAUGGCUCACCUAGGCGACGAUCCCUAGCUGGUUAGAGAGGAUGCCCAGCCACACUGGAACUGAGACACGGUCCAGACUCCUACGGGAGGCAGCAGUGGGGAAUAUUGCACAAUGGGCGCAAGCCUGAUGCAGCCAUGCCGCGUGUAUGAAGAAGGCCUUCGGGUUGUA